GAAGGUUGAACCGGUCGAAGAUACCAGCUGGCUGCAACUGUUUAUUAAAAACACAGCACUCUGCAAACACGAAAGUGGACGUAUAGGGUGUGAUGCCUGCCCGGUGCUGGAAGGUUAAUUGAUGGUGUAAUCGAAAGAGAAGCUCCUGAUCGAAGCCCCAGUAAACGGCGGCCGUAACUAUAACGGUCCUAAGGUAGCGAAAUUCCUUGUCGGGUAAGUUCCGACCUGCACGAAUGGCAUAAUGAUGGCCAGGCUGUCUCCACCCGAGACUCAGUGAAAUUGAAAUCGCCGUGAAGAUGCGGUGUACCCGCGGCUAGACGGAAAGACCCCGUGAACCUUUACUAUAGCUUGACACUGAACAUUGAAUUUUGAUGUGUAGGAUAGGUGGGAGACUUAGAAGUAGUCACGCCAGUGAUUAUGGAGUCGUCCUUGAAAUACCACCCUUUAACGUUUGAUGUUCUAACGAAGAUUACGAAACGUGGUCUCGGACAGUGUCUGGUGGGUAGUUUGACUGGGGCGGUCUCCUCCCAAAGAGUAACGGAGGAGCACGAAGGUUUGCUAAUGACGGUCGGACAUCGUCAGGUUAGUGCAAUGGUAUAAGCAAGCUUAACUGCGAGACAGACAAGUCGAGCAGGUACGAAAGUAGGUCAUAGUGAUCCGGUGGUUCUGCAUGGAAGGGCCAUCGCUCAACGGAUAAAAGGUACUCCGGGGAUAACAGGCUGAUACCGCCCAAGAGUUCAUAUCGACGGCGGUGUUUGGCACCUCGAUGUCGGCUCAUCACAUCCUGGGGCUGAAGUAGGUCCCAAGGGUAUGGCUGUUCGCCAUUUAAAGUGGUACGCGAGCUGGGUUUAGAACGUCGUGAGACAGUUCGGUCCCUAUCUGCCGUGGGCGUUGGAGAAUUGAUUGGGGCUGCUCCUAGUACGAGAGGACCGGAGUGGACGCACCACUGGUGUUCCGGUUGUGUCGCCAGACGCAUUGCCGGGUAGCUAAGUGCGGAAGAGAUAAGUGCUGAAAGCAUCUAAGCACGAAACUUGCCAAGAGAUGAGUUCUCCCAGAUUACAAAUCUGUAAGGGUUGUUUAAGACUAAGACGUAGAUAGG
RNAcentral lists this ribosomal RNA (1099 nucleotides) under Haemophilus sp. HMSC073C03. RNAcentral describes it as "bacterial LSU rRNA". It matches the Rfam family "Bacterial large subunit ribosomal RNA", at positions 1763 to 2860 of the family's 2925-position model. The record is from RNAcentral. Lineage: Bacteria; Pseudomonadati; Pseudomonadota; Gammaproteobacteria; Pasteurellales; Pasteurellaceae.